GAUGAAGAACGCAGCGAAAUGCGAUACGUAAUGUGAAUUGCAGAAUUCAGUGAAUCAUCGAAUCUUUGAACGCACAUUGCGCCCGCCAGCAUUCUGGCGGGCAUGCCUGUCCGAGCGUCAUUUCAACCCUCAGGGUCCCCCCGCCUCGCGCGGUCGGAGCCUGGUGUUGGGGAUCGGCCCGCCCCGCGCGGCGCCGUCCCCCAAAUACAGUGGCGGUCCCGCCGCAGCCUCCCCUGCGCAGUAGUUAUCAACUCGCACUGGAGCGCGGCGCGGCCACGCCGUAAAACCCCCGACUUUCAGAAAGUUGACCUCGGAUCAGGUAGGAAUACCCGCUGAACUUAAGCAUAUCAAUAAGCGGAGGA
This 362-nucleotide unclassified non-coding RNA is filed under the name soil metagenome. RNAcentral's name for it is "partial contains 5.8S ribosomal RNA, internal transcribed spacer 2, and large subunit ribosomal RNA". The stretch from base 1 to 120 matches the Rfam family "5.8S ribosomal RNA", at positions 35 to 154 of the family's 154-position model. The record is from RNAcentral.